Molecule: long non-coding RNA, 1233 nt
Filed under: Linum usitatissimum (flax)
Lineage: Eukaryota; Viridiplantae; Streptophyta; Magnoliopsida; Malpighiales; Linaceae
Description: long non-coding RNA (LUSI_LNC007871)
Source: RNAcentral
AUAACUGAGAGUACUGUUGGUUUUACCUGUAAAAAAAUUGAUGAAAUUUUUCGUUGUUGGAACUUUGUUCGUUGAUUUCUUCAUGUAAGUACUACUUUCAAGAGCAAAUGAUUUGCAAGUAAGAGAUGCCACAAAAUUUGCUAAUUGUUGAGAUAUAACAGAGCAUUCGCUUGUGGACAAAACUCUGCCUAACUUUACACUGACCAGACACAGCAAUUUGGAAGUACUUCUGAUGUCAUGAGGAUCAGAUAGUAUUAGAUAGAUUCCAGGGCAAUCAUAAAGCAGUAAAAAAUUGAAGGUAUUACCCUGAAAAAGGAUAUUAAACAAUCUCAUAACGAGUCAGCUUCAUGAGCAAUAUGAACAAAAGGAGAUAUAAGCUUUCAUUUAACUUACUGCCUCUGCAGGAAACUUACUCGUGGGAAAGUUCCCAUCGUCAGAAGACUCAGAGAGUCAUCACAAUUCACACACCAUCAUGAAAUCCGCAUGAACAUCACUUGGGAGUUGUGUAAGAGAACUCCCCACAUUUCCUUCUCGUCGUCACAUUGAUAAUCAAACCAAAAAAUGAUCCAACUAUUUCGUUAGGCAAAAAUUUCUAAUUUCAUGAUUCAUGUAUUAACUAAUAUCCCCUAAUUGAGCUGUCUCUUUCUUAAAAGUCACCUCAAUCUGAGUUCAUCCAAGUUCAAUAGUUCUUCCCUUCACUCAAGUACUUCUACUGCUACCAUGCCUAUAAAAAGAAGGUGGCGGUCUUACCAUGAGCUGUGGAAUUGGAUGUCGAUCAUGAAGGGCUCUCAACAUCAAGAUGAACGUCUGCUUUUCGACGAUGAAUCUCCUCCGGAGACACUGCAGACGAGAAUAAUACACAAAGUCAUUGGCAAGACAUGUCAGACGACACAGGACUUGGCAAAGCACUUACCAACCGGAACCGUUCUCGUGUUCCAGCUUAUGUCGUCCAUUGUCGCGAGAGAAGGUAACUGAGGUGUUUACACUUGCUGCAUACCUUGAUGUCGCUGCUUUUAUUUGUAGCUGUUGCUCUGUUCGAUGACAAUGUGGUCAAUUGCUUCUACCAAUCGCCUUCUGAGGAGACUCAGCAGAUCCUUAAUGCUCUCCCUUGGGAUUGGAGUUAUUUGCAGUAUGUUGUUUGCUCUGUUCCCCAGCAAACUCAACGGGAUUGGUUUCCUCUCUCGGCCAGCUGCUUUUAUUUGAUCCAGAAACAUUACACCCCACACCCCCAAC